UACGGAGGGUGCGAGCGUUAAUCGGAAUUACUGGGCGUAAAGGGUUCGUAGGUGGUUGGAUAAGUUAUCUGUAAAAUCCCUGGGCUUAACCUGGGCAGGUCAGAUAAGACUGUUUGACUCGAGUAUGGGAGAGGGUAGUGGAAUUUCCGGUGUAGCGGUGAAAUGCGUAGAGAUCGGAAGGAACACCAGUGGCGAAGGCGGCUACCUGGCCUAAUACUGACACUGAGGAACGAAAGCGUGGGGAGCAAACAGGAUUAGAUACCCUGGUAGUCCACGCCGUAAACGAUGUCAACUAGCUGUUGGUCAUAUUGAUAUGAUUAGUGGCGCAGCAAACGCGAUAAGUUGACCGCCUGGGGAGUACGGUCGCAAGAUUA
Molecule: ribosomal RNA, 374 nt
Filed under: uncultured prokaryote
Description: bacterial SSU rRNA
Rfam family: Bacterial small subunit ribosomal RNA
Source: RNAcentral